UCUCCCUGGCAAUAGGCAAAGAGACACAUUUUCAGUGGUGUUCUUCUAUCAGUCAGGGGCAAAGCAAAUUACAGUCCUUUGUUCAUCCUAACUUGAUGCCUGGCUUCGUGGCCAAAGCUGUAUUAUGCCUAGGACAGAGAA
Molecule: small nucleolar RNA, 141 nt
Organism: Mastomys coucha (southern multimammate mouse)
Lineage: Eukaryota; Metazoa; Chordata; Mammalia; Rodentia; Muridae
Product: small nucleolar RNA SNORA48
Exons: 1
Source: RefSeq, a predicted model, not a curated record